Chinchilla lanigera (long-tailed chinchilla) is the source of this 4107-nucleotide long non-coding RNA. RefSeq lists it as uncharacterized. The record is from RefSeq and is a predicted model, not a curated record. The transcript has 2 exons. NCBI's taxonomy places the organism in Eukaryota, Metazoa, Chordata, Mammalia, Rodentia, Chinchillidae.
UACUGGUACCCCUGGAAUGUGAGCUACACAAGGGUGGAGAUUUUUCUGUCUUGUCUUUUGAUGUGCCCUGAGGGCCUAGGACGUUGCUUGUCAUAGAGUACAAAUUCCGAGUAGGACUGGUAGACACAUGAGUAUGGAACUAGUCACAUUCCCAGGCACCAUACCAAAAGAGUGGCCUAGAAUUGUGCCAGGAGUGCAGAACCUAUGUUGUUAAAAAGCUUCUGCUGUGAUUCUAAGGCUCACUGAAGUUUGGGAACCAGUGUGAGUCUAAGGAGUGAUGAAGUUACACAGUUGCAGCUCCAGGUCUCUGCAAAGUACAAAGAGAGAGCUGGGACCAGGUGGGAUCCUCUCCAGGAGCACCUGCUGGUCAACCCCAUCUCUGGUGCUUAGAUUUCUCCUGGCUCAAGUACAAAUGAGCAUGGCCCACUUGUCUAAGCUCCUAGACCAGUGAUGGAGAGCCUUUUAGAGCUUUCAACGGUAGCAAACAGCCAAUGUAUCACACUUGCCAUAGUUCAUCACUGUCUUAGACCAUGGCUCUUGCCCCUGAACUCUGAGGAAGGCAAGGUUGCCGGAGAGUAAGGAGACUAAGUGCAUUGACGAGGUGCUAGGAGGACAAAGGAUUAAAUCAACAUCUCAGUCAGCUCUGGCCAUGGAAUCUGGAACACUGAAUCGACUUUAGUAGGAAAACCUCUUGCUGUUAUAUUCAUAAACAGAAAACUAGGAAGGUCCACAAUUGUCAAGGCAAAGGCCAAGAGGCCUGGGUGGUAGGAGAAGUCUCAGGUAAAGGCAGGUGGAACGGAGAGGAAGUGCUCUGCGGCAGCUCCAGGCUGUAUUACACCCUUCCUGACCCUCUGGAAGGAGGAGACAGAAAGUCGGAAUGUCAUGAGAUGGGUGCCGGGAGCUCUGGAAGGGCCAGGAAGGCAACUGCGUUUCCCUGGCUCUGUGAGUGAGGCUCAGAUGCAAGGGAAGAAAGGCCACAAGUCCAACUCUACACACUACAGUGACCUCAGCAUGAAAGGUACAAGAGCUCAUUUUUUGAAAGUUUUUUGCCUUUCACUAGGUGAUAUGUAAGGAGGGGAGGGAGAAACCCAGAAGGAUGAACCAUGUGAAAGACGGGAAAGUAGGAAACCUGGCCCAGUGCCACUUAUCCUGGUUCUUGAGCGCUGUUGAGCCAGCUGCUCCAGGAUUCUAGGAACACCAGUUAGGUGGUUUGCAGGGACUACGGGAAGCUGUCUUCGUUAGGAUGCCUGACAAAGAAGACCUGGUGUAAACACACCGAGACCACCAGCACUGAGCUCUCACUGGGAAGCCCCAUUCACCUUCCACUACAUGCUCACUUUGUCACUGAGGAUUUAGAAAUAACACCUUCAGAUUUCAUUGCUUUAAUGAAAGCUUUUUCUUCCAGUCAUAUUUCAGAAAAUGAAAAUAAAGCUUGAUUUCUCAGCCACACAUCUUUGCCUGGCUAAGGAAGUCUCUCUCAUUUUGGAUAUACCUCCUGAGGUAGAUUUUGUGAACAAUGAUAAUUACCAUUACAUUAUUUUCCAAAUGCAACCAUUUCCAUAAAUUCAUAUUUCAGUGGGGGUGUUGUUUAGUGUACAAAAGAAAAUUGAAUGUUUUAAAUUGAAGACUCAUAAAAACUACUUCAAAACAGUUUAAAGGCCAGGGACACCAUAAUGCUGCAGACAGGUAGAAAACAAUGAAUUGUAAUAGAAAAAAGCCUCUAAAAUAUUCCUAGAACACUGUAUUUCCUAUCCUGUACUCAUUUGAUAGUAAACAGUGCACAAAGAUAUCUUUGUACCUUCUGACAGAGUUUUAAAAACAUGUUGCUUGAGACCUUUGCGGCUAUAUGAAAUGCACAAAUGCAUUAAAAACGUUCAUAUCAAACCUAAAGUGGAGGCCAUUUUCAACAGUACAAUGAAAAGGUUGAGAUAAAGGAGAAAUUUGCAAUAUUCAAUAUAAUUUUAUUGUAUAGAUUUCAGAAUUCAAUUCAAAAUUGUACUUCUAAAAAUUAACUUACUUACUCAGUAUUAAUUUUAGAUCAUGUACUAAGUGAAAUUAUUUGAUUUCACUUAAGCCAAGUGAGGCAGGUACCAAAUUCAAUGUGAAUUAUGCUCUUAAAAGCAUCCAAGGAGUUAAACAGUUCUUUGAAGAAAACCAGUGAUUACAUUUAUCAAAUAUCUUUUACUGAUGCUAAGCAAGUCAGAGUUUUGAUUUUAAUACUAUCUUCUCUACCAUAAAAAAUAAAGUUAAAAGGUCUUCAAAUGAAAAAUCUCAUGAUCAGUUCUUUCAUGUCUUGAAUUAGAUUUUAAAAUCAGUUUCUUUUUUUUAAACAAUAGAUGUGGUAAUCUCAUUACUAAAAGAUAGAUUUAUAAUGCUAAAAGAAUAUUAUAGACAUCUGCUUUCUGCAUGAUGUAUGACUUGGAAAUUUUAAGCCAAAAAGCAAAUUUAGCUACUUACAAACUUGCAAUUAUAGCUUAUAAACAUAGUACAAGAUGUGCUAUUGGUGGAUUGUUGAUAUAUGAGGAGCUAGUAAAACCUUAAAUUGCUUUCUAAAUUCUAACAUGAGUCUUCUUUAGACGUUGGAGUGUAUUUGUAGCAGUAAUUUAUCAGAAAUUUCCAAGUACUUUUGUAACUUUCAGGAUAUAGUUAACUUGGCCAGUGGAGAAUGUAAUCAGUAGGAAAUAUAGCUUCUCAAAAUUAAAUUUUAUUUAUAAACUAAAGUUUAUGCUAUAUCUAAAUAUUACAAUAUCACAAGGAAGAUUGUCAAAUAUUGCAAUCAUCUCUACAGCAAAUGAGACAACUGGAAAAAGUAGACACUGAAAUUGCUAAAUGAUAGUUAUGUUUGAAAUCUAGUAUGCUCCUCAAAAAGCUCAUUCUUUUGAAAGAUUGGUUGAUGAUUGGCUUUGUGGAAGUGACCAGAUCGUGAAAACUCUAAUGUGGUCAGUGGAUCAGUCCACUGAUGAGAUCGUGAUUUAAUGAUAUUUUUGGGAGGUGAUAGAAACAGGAGGUGGGAGCUAUUGAAGAGAGUGGGUUCCGGGGCAUGAACUUGGGGAGUAUAUCUGGGCCCUUUCUCCUUCCUCUCUGGCUCUUUCCCUUUCUUUCUGCUUUCUAGAUGCCAUGAGGUGGAGACAGUAUCCUCCAUCACACCUUUCCACCACGUUACUACCUUACCACAGGCCUAAAAGCAAUGGACUCACUGACCAUGGACUGAAACUCCUGAAACCGUCCAGACAAGUCGCAUCUGUUUAGAAGACUUGAGUGAUAAUGAAAACUGGGCAUUUUCCAUGGACUUCCUCUCCCCAACUUCCGCCCCUGGACCCCCUCCAAGUCCACACAAGCAAGCGGAGGCCCGGAAGGAGACUUACAGUGUGACGAAUCAAAUACUUCAUAGCAGAUGGCAUUCAUCUUUAUGCUUUCCCAGUAUAAACCAAACUUUCUCUUAGUUGGCUUCACCUAAAAAAUGUUCAGCAGUUUAUAAUUCAUUACCUCUGACCUUCUGUGAGGUCGGUGUAACAAUCCUUUUUAUAAAUCAAGUACAUUAAUUUAAAUAUCAUAUUUUUUAAUGGAUUGACUUCUCCAAAAAUGUACGAUUGAUAUUUUUAUAAAAGACAGCUAACUGAGAGAGACUAAUUGAAAGCUUUCUUGUGCUGGGAUUAGAGGAGAGGGACCCUGCUUGGGCCUUUGUUGUAUUGAAUCUGAAGAAGAAAAACUGAGAGAAAGGUGGACGCAGUGGUUUAUCGCCCAGCCUUUCAGGGUUAGAAACUGGAAGCUGCGUCACACUGCAGCGUUAAAGUUAGAAGAGCACCAAAUCAAGCACCUGGUUUGUUCUCGUAUGGAUUCCAAAAAGUCGGCUUAGAAGUUCUCAAGCUCAGAAGACAAAAAUGGUAAACAAAGGAAACAAAGGUACAACAAGGCAGAGAGGAUAGAUAAUUUCUGCAUUUUGCAGAAUGUCCUCAUUUUUUCAUUUUGUCCUAGAAAGGAAAAAGUGAUCAGAGGGAAAUAAUAUUACUGUGCGGUGCUCACCCCAGUAAUCAUUCAAUAUCUUUGCCUUUUAAUUUCUAUUUUGAUUACAAUAAAUGAGUUAAAAUUUGGGGAUUCAGUGAUAAA